RNAcentral lists this ribosomal RNA (394 nucleotides) under uncultured Anaeromyxobacter sp. RNAcentral's name for it is "bacterial SSU rRNA". It matches the Rfam family "Bacterial small subunit ribosomal RNA", at positions 67 to 447 of the family's 1533-position model. Lineage: Bacteria; Pseudomonadati; Myxococcota; Myxococcia; Myxococcales; Anaeromyxobacteraceae. The record is from RNAcentral.
CGAGAAAGCCCGCAAGGGUGAGUAAAGCGGCGCACGGGUGCGUAACACGUGGGUAAUCUGCCCUGAAGUCCGGAAUAACUCGCCGAAAGGCGUGCUAAUGCCGGAUGAGACCACGGGAGCCUCGGCUCCUGCGGGAAAAGGUGGCCUCUGUACACAAGCUAUCGCUUCAGGAUGAGCCCGCGGCCCAUCAGCUCGUUGGCGGGGUAAUGGCCCACCAAGGCUACGACGGGUAGCUGGUCUGAGAGGACGAUCAGCCACACUGGAACUGAGACACGGUCCAGACUCCUACGGGAGGCAGCAGUGGGGAAUCUUGCGCAAUGGGCGAAAGCCUGACGCAGCAACGCCGCGUGUGUGAUGAAGGUCUUCGGAUCGUAAAGCACUGUCGCGAGGGACG